UACGAGGGGGGCAAGCGUUGUUCGGAAUUAUUGGGCGUAAAGAGCUCGUAGGCGGCGUGUUGCGUCGGUUGUGAAAGCCCGGGGCUUAACUCCGGGUCUGCAGUCGAUACGGGCAUGCUUGAGUUCGGUAGGGGAGAUCGGAAUUCCUGGUGUAGCGGUGAAAUGCGCAGAUAUCAGGAGGAACACCGGUGGCGAAGGCGGAUCUCUGGGACGGUACUGACGCUGAGACGCGAAAGCGUGGGGAGCGAACAGG
Molecule: ribosomal RNA, 253 nt
Filed under: uncultured bacterium
Lineage: Bacteria
Description: partial 16S ribosomal RNA
Rfam family: Bacterial small subunit ribosomal RNA
Source: RNAcentral